GACCUCAAUUCUUUCUUGAAAUCUACAAAAUUUAACACCAGCUACAUCCAGUGACAAAAAUGUGAAAGAAAAAGAAUGAAAACACUAAAACAAAGAUUUACUCUAACACUAAAACAAAGAUUUAAUCUGACAAGGGUCGAAUUAUGACAUGUGAGGGAGUAAAGCAAAAGGGGCAUAACAUAUUGAAGGACCCAAUUCAGCAGUAUUCAGUUAGCUGUCAAUAAUCCUUCAUCAAUCAACGCCAAUACUCAAUACUUUCACCAAAUUCCAAAAUUUAAGCAAAAUUAGA
RNAcentral lists this unclassified non-coding RNA (289 nucleotides) under Hevea brasiliensis (rubber tree). Lineage: Eukaryota; Viridiplantae; Streptophyta; Magnoliopsida; Malpighiales; Euphorbiaceae. The record is from RNAcentral.